RNAcentral lists this ribosomal RNA (254 nucleotides) under uncultured bacterium. RNAcentral's name for it is "partial 16S ribosomal RNA". It matches the Rfam family "Bacterial small subunit ribosomal RNA", at positions 524 to 776 of the family's 1533-position model. The record is from RNAcentral.
UACAGAGGGUGCGAGCGUUGUCCGGAAUCACUGGGCGUAAAGGGCGCGUAGGUGGCGGCAUAAGGCCGCGGUGAAAGUUCGGGGCUCAACCCUGCGUCGGCCAUGAAUACUGCCGCGGCUGGAGCACUGUAGAGGCAGGCGGAAUUCCGGGUGUAGCGGUGGAAUGCGUAGAGAUCCGGAAGAACACCGGUGGCGAAGGCGGCCUGCUGGGCAGUUGCUGACACUGAGGCGCGACAGCGUGGGGAGCAAACAGG